CGUUACCACAGGGGGGGCUUUUAGCUGAGAUUGAUUCUUUGGAAUCUGACCCUUUGAACCUGUUCGUUAAUACGAGCGUAGGGAUUGUGGCGAAUGUAGUGG
Molecule: non-coding RNA, 102 nt
Filed under: Listeria booriae
Lineage: Bacteria; Bacillati; Bacillota; Bacilli; Caryophanales; Listeriaceae
Also listed under: 1 other name
Description: TPP riboswitch aptamer (THI element)
Rfam family: TPP riboswitch aptamer (THI element)
About the family: Vitamin B(1) in its active form thiamin pyrophosphate (TPP) is an essential coenzyme that is synthesised by coupling of pyrimidine and thiazole moieties in bacteria. The previously detected thiamin-regulatory element, thi box was extended, resulting in a new, highly conserved RNA secondary structure, the THI element, which is widely distributed in eubacteria and also occurs in some archaea.
Source: Rfam by way of RNAcentral